UACAGAGGUCCCAAGCGUUGUUCGGAUUCAUUGGGCGUAAAGGGUGCGUAGGUGGCGCUGUAAGUCGGGUGUGAAAUUUCGGAGCUUAACUCCGAAACUGCAUUCGAUACUGCGGUGCUUGAGGACUGGAGAGGAGACUGGAAUUCAUGGUGUAGCAGUGAAAUGCGUAGAGAUCAUGAGGAAGACCAGUGGCGAAGGCGGGUCUCUGGACAGUUCCUGACACUGAGGCACGAAGGCCGGGGGAGCAAACGGG
RNAcentral lists this ribosomal RNA (253 nucleotides) under uncultured bacterium. RNAcentral describes it as "partial 16S ribosomal RNA". It matches the Rfam family "Bacterial small subunit ribosomal RNA", at positions 524 to 776 of the family's 1533-position model. The record is from RNAcentral.